GAAAAAUGCAACUCGAAGAAGAGGAGUUUGAUGUGUUCAAUCUCUUAGAAGAUGUAGUUGACUUUUACCAUCCUGUGGCUGCGAAGAAAGGUGUAGAUCUGGUGUUGGACCCUUGUAACGGUUCUGUAGUGGGAUAUUCACGGGUGAAAGGUGAUAGGGGAAAACUAAAACAAGUUCUGAGUAAUUUACUGAGCAAUGCUGUGAAAUUUACCGAUGAGGGACAUAUAGCGGUACGCGCAUGGACUCGGAAGCCAAAACUACUGCAGAACUCCACAGUCACUUUUAGCAAAUUUGGUUUCAAGCAAUAUUUAUCAUGCUUAUUUCGUAACAAAACCGAACCACGUAGUGACGUGGAAUCCACGCGUUCAAUCCAAGAAGAUCCUCAUUCUAUGGAUUUUAUAUUUGAAGUGGAUGACACGGGAAAAGGAAUUCCUAAAGAGAAAUACAAGUCUGUUUUUGAGAAUUACGUCCAAAUCAAAGAUACUGCUCUUGGCCAAGGGGGAACUGGUUUGGGACUCGGGAUUGUUCAGUCGCUGGUGCGUUUGAUGCAUGGAGAUAUUGAAAUUGUGGAGAAGGAUACUGGUGAAAGAGGGACAUGCUUCAAGUUCAAUGUGGUUCUCAGUGUAUGUGAGAAUGAGGGAGUGUCAGAUGGUAGCAGAAGGGAGGGUGUUGGUUGUGGAUCAGGAGACAGAAUAAUAGAAUGUGAGGAGCAGCAGACUGUGCAGGCUUCGUGUUCUGGUUCUUCUAGAAUUUGUUCCAUGAGUCCUAAGUUACGAAUGUGCAGCUCUAGUCCAAAGCCUGAGGCUUCCCUUGUGGUUCUUUUGAUUGUUGACGAAGAGCGCCAAAGGACUUCACGAAGGUUCAUGGAGAGGUUAGGGAUCAAAGUGAAAGUUGUGAAUACAGGGAAAGGUUUGUUUUAUACUCUGAGGAAGAUCAACCUGAAGGCUAAGCAUUCUAGUGGCCAAAAUUCUCCAGGUUCUUCGGAUUUGAGUCAUUGGUCUACACCUCACAGUUCUCUCGACAUAGCCACAAGAGUUUCUUUGAGUUCUAUGGAUGGAACUGAGCAUAUGCCUUUAGUUUUCAAGAAAACUGAUGUAGGAGCUUCUCCCGGCUUCAUCCUUGUUGUGAUUGAUGCAAAUGCAGGACCGUUUUCUGAGCUUUACACGAUUGUGUCCAACUUCAAGAAAGACCUUCGCAACCCGUGUAAGGUUGUGUGGUUGGAUAAGCCCUUUAUGCGUAGAAUCAACUUGAAGGCCCUUGGUCAAGAUGACAUCGUCACAUCCAAACCAUUUCAUGGUACUCGUUUGUUCCAAACCAUAAAGCUCCUUCCUGAAUUUGGAGGUUCUUGGCAAAGCAAUUCUAGUAGAGCUAAGAGGGAAAUGGCCAAUGAGAGAGCUACAUUGAACACUUGCAAGGAUCCAGGUUUGUCAAAAUACACGUCUCCUCUGCUGGACAGAUCACACGUCAGUUCUUCAACUGACGAAAGUACAUUCCAAACUGGUGAACAAAUUUUGAAGGGAA
This 1521-nucleotide small RNA is filed under the name Vigna angularis var. angularis. RNAcentral's name for it is "Non-protein coding transcript". Lineage: Eukaryota; Viridiplantae; Streptophyta; Magnoliopsida; Fabales; Fabaceae. The record is from RNAcentral.